CCUACGGGUGGCAGCAGUGGGGAAUAUUGCACAAUGGGGGAAACCCUGAUGCAGCGACGCCGCGUGAGUGAAGAAGUAUUUCGGUAUGUAAAGCUCUAUCAGCAGGGAAGAAAAUAACAGUACCUCACCACUAAGCCCCGGCUAACUACGUGCCAGCAGCCGCGGUCAUACGUAGGGGGCAAGCGUUAUCCGGAUUUACUGGUUGUAAAGGGAGCGUAGACGGUGAUGUAAGUCUGGAGUGAAAGCCCGGGGCGCAACCCCCGGACUGCUUUGGAGACUGUGUAACUGGAGUACAGGAGGGGCAGGCGGAAUUCCUGGUGUAGCGGGGAAAGGCGUAGAUAUUAGGAGGAACACCAGCGGCGAAGGCGGCCUGCUGGACUGAAACUGACGUUGAGGCUCGAAAGCGUGGGGAGCAAACAGGAGUAGAUACCCGAGUAGUC
RNAcentral lists this ribosomal RNA (440 nucleotides) under uncultured bacterium. Its description in RNAcentral is "partial 16S ribosomal RNA". It matches the Rfam family "Bacterial small subunit ribosomal RNA", at positions 338 to 795 of the family's 1533-position model. The record is from RNAcentral.